UACAAUGUAGAGAUGGAUUAACGGCAGCUUCCCAAGCUGCAUACGAGGGUUCGAUUCCCUUCACCCGCUCCA
This 72-nucleotide transfer RNA is filed under the name Serratia sp. Tan611. Its description in RNAcentral is "Pseudo tRNA". Lineage: Bacteria; Pseudomonadati; Pseudomonadota; Gammaproteobacteria; Enterobacterales; Yersiniaceae. The record is from RNAcentral.